GCUGAAGGGGAAUGAGCUCCCAAUGCUGGCCCCUGGAGGAGGAGGCUCUUGAACCGAGCUGGGAAGGAAGGUAAAGGGCAUUCGUGGCUAGAGAAGCCCAAGCAGUGGGCCUGCUGUUUGGAUUGGGAGGGCCAGGAGGUGUCCUGUGUCAGGGCCACAGCCCGGGAGCACGUGGCGGUCAGAGAGGAGCGGAGGCAGUGGUCCAGAGGGUGGAGGUGAGCCCCAGCCUCCCUGACCCCCAGGCUCCCCUGGCUCCAGCCCUAAGGUGCUCUCCCAGCCGUCCGACCUGGAUCUCCAAGACGUAGAGGAAGUGGAGAUCGGCAGAGACACCUUCUGGCCCGACUCCGAGCCCAAGCCGGAGCAGGCUCCACGCUCUCCUGGCUCUCAGGCCCCUGACGAGGGGGCGGGCGGGGCGCUGCGCAGCCUCCUGAGGAGCCUUCCCCGCAGGGCCCGGUGCAGCGCCGGCUUCGGGCCUGAAUCCAGCGCGGAGCGGCCGGCGGGCCAGCCGCCUGGGGCCGUCCCUUGCGCUCAGCCGCGGGGCGCCUGGCGCGUGACGCUCGUGCAGCAAGCAGCGGCCGGGCCCGAGGGUGCGCCCGAGCGGGCUGCCGAGCUGGG
RNAcentral lists this small RNA (615 nucleotides) under Pan troglodytes (chimpanzee). Its description in RNAcentral is "retained intron". Lineage: Eukaryota; Metazoa; Chordata; Mammalia; Primates; Hominidae. The record is from RNAcentral.